UACGAAGGGGGCUAGCGUUGUUCGGAAUUACUGGGCGUAAAGCGCACGUAGGCGGAUAUUUAAGUCAGGGGUGAAAUCCCAGAGCUCAACUCUGGAACUGCCUUUGAUACUGGGUAUCUUGAGUAUGGAAGAGGUAAGUGGAAUUGCGAGUGUAGAGGUGAAAUUCGUAGAUAUUCGCAAGAACACCAGUGGCGAAGGCGGCUCACUGGCCCGAUACUGACGCUGAGGCACGAAAGCGUGGGGAGCAAACAGG
RNAcentral lists this ribosomal RNA (253 nucleotides) under uncultured bacterium. Its description in RNAcentral is "partial 16S ribosomal RNA". It matches the Rfam family "Bacterial small subunit ribosomal RNA", at positions 524 to 776 of the family's 1533-position model. The record is from RNAcentral.